Molecule: non-coding RNA, 1719 nt
Organism: Physcomitrium patens
Lineage: Eukaryota; Viridiplantae; Streptophyta; Bryopsida; Funariales; Funariaceae
Source: RefSeq, a predicted model, not a curated record
CAACACACAGGAGGUUUUUCUUUAAGCUAGGUGAGUAAAGAACAUGUUGAAUUUGUUGUAUUUCAGUGUUGAGAAGCUUAUCAGCAACAUUCCCAAUACCAAAUACAAUAUGUCCUUGUCCUCUUAUGGAGGUAACCCUGGUUCCUGUGCAUGGUUUAAUAUGGUUUAAUCAAAGAAACUAACGUUUUGUCCCCAGAUAUGUGGUGCAAGACACCAGAAUUUAGGUAAUAAAGUCUAGAGUUUGUGUCUAAAACAUUUACCUAUAGCAGGCAAGCUUCGGGAGAUGCUUCCUCUUUGGGUUUUGAAUCGUUCUCGUACUCGAACUGAUCGUCUUCAUUUUCGUUGAUUUUGAUGUUAUGUAUAUGGCCGCCUCUCCAUUCUUUUGGUGUUCUUCUGUCUGGAGGCGAGACUCCAUAUCCUUGAUACGUUCAAGAAGGUCGCAAAGGUCCCCUUUAAAAAUUUCUCGGUGUUUUGCGGUGGCUGGAAUGAGCGGCUUGUUUGGAGCAAUUCGACUGCUGCUGUUGUAACGUUGAUAGCUACUUCGUGGGUGGUAAUGGUUUCUACGGUCCUAUGAGUAUUGGCCGCGAUCACUGUUGAGGGAUUGCCCUCCCAAGUGUGAGUUGCUUGGGUGUCGAUGGCCAUAGCUGCCGCGGCUGCUGUUGUCGGCUUUCAAGUUGUUCUAUCCAUUUUGAUAAUAUUGUGCUCUAUAUCCUUAAUGUGGCCCUCGGUUGUUGUGAGGCCUUCGGGUGUGACUUCGGAAGGAAAGAAGCGCCUUGCCGAUCUGUUCUGGCUAAGUGGUAGAGUCCGUCUCUCUCGAAGACAUUUUGCAUUUUGAAGCCUCUGAUGCCAUAGUUUUCUAGGCAUGUAAGGUGGUACGUUCCUGGUAUCAAAGUCAGACUAGUUGCAUGACUGACCGAGACGCUACAAACGGUGGGAACUAGCACAGCAGGUGUGGUUGGAUGACUCAUCAUCCUUGGUGUGGGGUCUAUUGUCUCUCUACUUAUAAUCUUUAAAUCUGAGGAGGACAGGCCACAAUUAUUGUUAGUAGCUAAUAUGUUCUAAGCUGUAUACUUCGGGACCACUCUUUGAUACCAUUUGGGAUGCUAGGAUAAGACACAAUGUGGAACGUACUAUUCAAUUAAAAGAUGAUUCGGGAGGGGUAUUAUAUACCCUCACAGUACGGGCUCAGAAACAGGUUCACAAGUUGUUGCUCCGAGCUGUCAUGAUGAACAGAAGAGAUGAAUGUAGACGAGAGUAGCAUCCAACAUAAUGAAGCUGCAGCAAUAGGGGGUGGACGUUGCAGCAUUAAGCAUGAGACAAGACCCUCUAAGAAGCCAGCUGCAAGCAACGUAACCUGUGGGUCAUACCUUCUGCAGUGUUUUUGUGAAUCCAAGUACCAAAUUCUCGACGUUUGAGAGACACACACACACCUUGAAGCUGCAAAAAAAGUUCCAAUGUUAACAGAGGAGGAAAUGUCUGAUGGUUGGCAGGAAGCUCCAACUUUUUCACGGCCUCCCAUAGAGGCAAGCAGCGUGGUGGACAGCAGUCUUGACUUUAUUGAUAGAUAACUGCUAGAAAUAUAUCGCGCUAUAGCAGUAAUUGCUUUACAAUGGCUGUAGCGUUGCCCAUGACAUGAAGCUGCUCCCCCGCAUCUUUUACAGAUGUAUGUCUCGUGUAGGUGACUUGGGUAAUCUAACUCCACUUAUCAAAGUCAAUUGA